AUUUAUAUAGUUUAAAUAAAACCAUUCAUUUUCAGUGAAUAAAUGAGCCUUCAACCUCUAUAAAUU
Molecule: transfer RNA, 66 nt
Filed under: Dindymus rubiginosus
Lineage: Eukaryota; Metazoa; Arthropoda; Insecta; Hemiptera; Pyrrhocoridae
Description: tRNA-Glu
Source: RNAcentral